GGCUUCCUCAGUUGGCUCUGUGUUGUUUCCUUUCUAUAAUAGAAUAGAAAGGAAACAACACAGAGCCAACUGAGGAAGCCUGUAUAA
This 87-nucleotide microRNA precursor is filed under the name Pelobates cultripes (western spadefoot toad). The record is from RNAcentral. Lineage: Eukaryota; Metazoa; Chordata; Amphibia; Anura; Pelobatidae.